Molecule: ribosomal RNA, 253 nt
Filed under: uncultured bacterium
Lineage: Bacteria
Description: partial 16S ribosomal RNA
Rfam family: Bacterial small subunit ribosomal RNA
Source: RNAcentral
UACGUAGGGUGCGAGCGUUAAUCGGAAUUACUGGGCGUAAAGCGUGCGCAGGCGGUUCGUUAUGUCCGAUGUGAAAGCCCCGAGCUCAACUUGGGAAUGGCAUUGGAAACUGGCGGGCUGGAGUGUGGCAGAGGGGGGUGGAAUUCCACGUGUAGCAGUGAAAUGCGUAGAGAUGUGGGGGAACACCGAUGGCGAAGGCAGCCCCCUGGGCCAACACUGACGCUCAGGCACGAAAGCGUGGGGAGCAAACAGG